Molecule: ribosomal RNA, 494 nt
Filed under: uncultured bacterium
Lineage: Bacteria
Description: bacterial SSU rRNA
Rfam family: Bacterial small subunit ribosomal RNA
Source: RNAcentral
AGAGUUUGAUCAUGGCUCAGGACGAACGCUGGCGGUAUGCCUAACACGUGCAAGUCGAACGAGAUCAUUUUUUUGUUUACAAAAGAAUGAUUGCAGUGGCGGACGGGUGAGGAACACGUAAGAACUUACCUUUUGGCGGGGGAUAACAACGGGAAACUGUUGCUAAUACCCCAUAAUGCUGAGGAGCGAAAGGGAAACUGCCAAGAGAGAGGCUUGCGUCUGAUUAGCUAGUUGGAGGAGGUAAAUGCUCCCCAAGGCGACGAUCAGUAGCUGGUCUGAGAGGAUGAUCAGCCACACUGGGACUGAGACACGGCCCAGACUCCUACGGGAGGCAGCAGUGGGGAAUUUUCCACAAUGGGCGAAAGCCUGAUGGAGCAAUACCGCGUGAGGGAUGAAGGAUCGUGGUCUGUAAACCUCUUUUCUUAAGGAAGAAUAAAUGACGGUACUUAAGGAAUAAGCACCGGCUAACUCCGUGCCAGCAGCCGCGGUAAUAC